AGAGUUUGAUCAUGGCUCAGAUUGAACGCUGGCGGCAGGCUUAACACAUGCAAGUCGAACGGUAACGCGAGGUGCUUGCACCUUGGCGACGAGUGGCGGACGGGUGAGUAACGCGUAGGAAUCUACCCAGUAGCGGGGGAUAGCCCGGGGAAACCCGGAUUAAUACCGCAUACGCCCCAGGGGAAAGAGGGCCUCUUCUUGAAAGCUCUCACUAUUGGAGGAGCCUGCGUUGGAUUAGCUAGUUGGUGGGGUAAGGGCUCACCAAGGCGACGAUCCAUAGCUGUUCUGAGAGGAAGAUCAGCCACACUGGGACUGAGACACGGCCCAGACUUCUACGGAAGGCAGCAGUGGGGAAUAUUGUGCAAUGGGCGCAAGCCUGACACAGCCAUGCCGCGUGUGUGAAGAAGGCCUUAGGGUUGUAAAGCACUUUCAGCGGGGAGGAAAAUCGGUCGGUUAAUAACCUCGAGUCUUGACGUUACCCACAGAAGAAGCACCGGCUAACUCCGUGCCAGCAGCCGCGGUAAUACGGAGGGUGCAAGCGUUAAUCGGAAUUACUGGGCGUAAAGCGUACGUAGGCGGUUUUGUAAGUAGGCUGUGAAAGCCCCAGGCUCAACCUGGGAAUGGCAGUCUAAACUACUCGACUAGAGAUCAGCAGAGGGAGGUGGAAUUCCUGGUGUAGCGGUGAAAUGCGUAGAGAUCAGGAAGAACACCGGUGGCGAAGGCGACCUCCUGGGCUGCGUCUGACGCUGAGGUACGAAAGCGUGGGUAGCAAACAGGAUUAGAUACCCUGGUAGUCCACGCCGUAAACGAUGAGAACUAGCCGUUGGGGGUAUAUGUCCCUUUAGUGUCGAAGCUAACGCGUUAAGUUCUCCGCCUGGGGAGUACGGCCGCAAGGUUAAAACUCAAAUGAAUUGACGGGGGCCCGCACAAGCGGUGGAGCAUGUGGUUUAAUUCGAUGCAACGCGAAAAACCUUACCUACUCUUGACAUCCUCGGAACUUGUCAGAAAUGACUUGGUGCCUUCGGGAGCCGAGUGACAGGUGCUGCAUGGCUGUCGUCAGCUCGUGUCGUGAGAUGUUGGGUUAAGUCCCGUAACGAGCGCAACCCUUGUCCUUAGUUGCCAGCACGUAAUGGUGGGAACUCUAAGGAGACUGCCGGUGAUAAACCGGAGGAAGGUGGGGACGACGUCAAGUCAUCAUGGCCCUUAUGAGUAGGGCUACACACGUGCUACAAUGGUCGGUACAGAGGGUUGCAAACUCGCGAGAGUAAGCUAAUCUCAGAAAGCCGAUCUUAGUCCGGAUUGGAGUCUGCAACUCGACUCCAUGAAGUUGGAAUCGCUAGUAAUCGCGGAUCAGAAUGCCGCGGUGAAUACGUUCCCGGGCCUUGUACACACCGCCCGUCACACCAUAGGAGUGGGUUGCAAAAGAAGUGGGUAGACUAACCUUCGGGAGGUCGCUCACCACUUUGUGAUUCAUGACUGGGGUGAAGUCGUAACAAGGU
This 1499-nucleotide ribosomal RNA is filed under the name uncultured prokaryote. RNAcentral describes it as "partial 16S ribosomal RNA". It matches the Rfam family "Bacterial small subunit ribosomal RNA". The record is from RNAcentral.